CCCAAGGAUUAUCGGUCCCUGAAAACACAGUAUCUGCAGAGCUACGGCCCCGAGCACCUGCUAACCUUCUCCAACCUUCGGAGAGCCGGGCUUCUAACAGAGCAGGCUUCGGGGGACACCCUCACUGCAGUAGAGAAUAAAGUGAGCAAGCUGGUGACUGACAAGGCCGCAGGUGAGCCUCCUUCUCUCCACCCUGGGGGCUGUUCCUCUCCUUACAGCUGGGAGAGAGAGCCCUGGAGGCAGAGAGGACUGGGAGGGCUGGUUUCACAUAAACCACAAACUUCCCCAUGUGCUGACCUUUGACCUGAGUUCUCACUUAACCCUCCAGAGGCAGGUCGUCUUUCCCUUGAUUUUCUUCUAAAGAAAAUGCAGCUUAGAGAAAUGGAGUAGCUGUUUUCACAGUCCCUCAAGACAGCAGGCUGUUUUUAUUCUGAAGCUGAUGCCUACCCUA
RNAcentral lists this long non-coding RNA (451 nucleotides) under Rattus norvegicus (Norway rat). RNAcentral describes it as "long non-coding RNA NONRATT000852". The record is from RNAcentral. Lineage: Eukaryota; Metazoa; Chordata; Mammalia; Rodentia; Muridae.